Molecule: ribosomal RNA, 496 nt
Filed under: uncultured bacterium
Lineage: Bacteria
Description: partial 16S ribosomal RNA
Rfam family: Bacterial small subunit ribosomal RNA
Source: RNAcentral
AUGAACGCUGGCGGCGUGCCUAAUACCUGCAAGUCGCGCGAACAGACGAGGAGCUUGCUCCUCUGACGUUAGCGGCGGACGGGUGAGUAACACGUUGAUAAUCUACCUAUAAGACUGGGAUAACUUCGGGAAACCGGAGCUAAUACCGGAUAAUAUAUUGAACCGCAUGGUUCAAUAGUGAAAGACGGUUUUGCUGUCACUUAUAGAUGGAUCCGCGCCGCAUUAGCUAGUUGGUAAGGUAACGGCUUACCAAGGCAACGAUGCGUAGCCGACCUGAGAGGGUGAUCGGCCACACUGGAACUGAGACACGGUCCAGACUCCUACGGGAGGCAGCAGUAGGGAAUCUUCCGCAAUGGGCGAAAGCUUGACGGAGCAACACCGCGUGAGUGAUGAAGGUCUUCGGAUCGUAAAACUCUGUUAUUAGGGAAGAACAAAUGUGUAAGUAACUAUGCACGUCUUGACGGUACCUAAUCAGAAAGCCACGGCUAACUACGUG